UCCCGCGCCGGGUUUGGGGGUGUAAACUCGCGGGCCGGGCGCUUACGUCUUGGAUUACUCGCUUCCGGGUGUGAGGUGUCGCGUGACGUCAUAGUGUCCAGUCGCGGGCUCGCGUCAAAUUUCAUCGAUUUCGUUUCAUGUCCCUCGCCGCUGGCCCGAUCCGCCGUCCGGAGUUUCCCGGCCGAACAGCCCUCGUGCUCCCCGCUUGGCUUUCCAUCGUGGGGGAAUGCGCCGACGGGCAAGAGCCGCCGGCAGACGCGGAGAUGCAGGGCUUGGAUUCCGGCGACCAGGACGAAGAUGAGGACGACGAAGGUGCCUCCAGCGCCGCUUCGCUUUCCGAGCCAGCAUCCCCUUUUUCCGGUCCACGGGAGGAGAUAAACCGUGAUUCUACCAUGUUAAGCGAGGCCGUAAGCCCCCCGUACUCGAGAUGCUCGUCGAUACCACCAAGAUGUUCCUCGAGGGACUCGGCCGUCUCGGAGCGGGACGUCGUCUCCCGGUGAGCCCCGUGAGCCUGGCGCCCCCGCCGCUCUUCCUGGCAACUCCGCAGCCCCACCAGAAGCUCCUGCGAGCCGCCUCACCGCCCGCCUCACCCGCGCCCUCCCCGUCCCCCCGCAACGAGUCCCCGCGCUCCUCAGCCUCCGCCUCCGCCGAGGAGCCCAACGUCCUCGACUUCAGCACCAAGCGACCCUCCGGGACGCCCCUCCCGGGCCCCACCUCCUCAAGAUCCCGGCCACGGUCGAAGUUCCUCUCAAUAGUCCUUUAGAUUUAUCAGUUUCCAGUAGAAAAAGAAGUCACGGCGACGACUCGUCGCCCGCCUCGUCUCCUAGUC
RNAcentral lists this long non-coding RNA (829 nucleotides) under Bemisia tabaci. RNAcentral's name for it is "lncRNA ENSSSA1UGG007565". The record is from RNAcentral. Lineage: Eukaryota; Metazoa; Arthropoda; Insecta; Hemiptera; Aleyrodidae.